RNAcentral lists this long non-coding RNA (715 nucleotides) under Homo sapiens (human). Its description in RNAcentral is "long non-coding RNA NONHSAT024737". The record is from RNAcentral. Lineage: Eukaryota; Metazoa; Chordata; Mammalia; Primates; Hominidae.
GGCAUUUUGUCUAUAAAUCAGGCACGACCUCAUAAUUAACUCAAGGUUGCUAUAUAAAGUACUGUAAUUUACUUACUUCAACACCCUGUAGGAUAAAAAGUGUGUGCCCUUAAGUCAAAACCUAUUUGAAAGUGUCCAGCAUCUCAAAAUGAUGCCACCUGCCUCCAAUGGUCCAAGGUCCAGAAACCAGCGACCAUCCAAGCUCCUCUUUCAGAGUAUGAAACGGGGCUUCUACAAGCCAGUUAUGGAAAGUAUCUCUCUUGUGUAAAAUUCCCAAACAGUUGUCACUAGAGACUUUGGUUCACAUGAAAAACCAGUAAAGGAAAAAAAUUCUGGUUAGAGAAAUCUGACUGGAAAUCUGACCAGAGAAAUCUGUCAAGCCAGUGCUAUUUCUGGAUCACAGUUUUUUACAGAGAGAGGGCCUGUUGGAACGAUUUUGAAGUGAUGACUGGAAGGUUUGACUCCCUCUAAGGAAUCUUGCUGGUGUUUGGAAGUGUCCGAUCUACGUUAUGCACGUGUUCUGUCUAUGAGGCGCUUCUCCACCCACUGUGUCCUUCAACCUUGCCAUGGCAGCUUUGGCCACUGGGGAUAUUGUUGACCUGGGGAACCCCACCCACUCUCCUACCCCCUCGAACCCAAUCCCUUCUCUUUUUACAAAUCAACCAAAUACUUUUUAAUGUGUUUUAUCCUUAAAUAAACUUUGUGUUCAAGUAUU